Molecule: long non-coding RNA, 2372 nt
Filed under: Gossypium barbadense (sea-island cotton)
Lineage: Eukaryota; Viridiplantae; Streptophyta; Magnoliopsida; Malvales; Malvaceae
Description: long non-coding RNA (GBAR_LNC016833)
Source: RNAcentral
UUAAAACAGUGGAGCAAGUAGGUCCAGGGCGCAUGUCUCUAAAUAAAGGCAGAAUCAAGAGCCAACGAUCCUCAGCUAUGGCAGAACAGUGAUCAGCAAGCUGGCAAGCAGAAAUAUACAAGAAGCUCAAACAUAUGCAAAAUAGAACACAGUUUAAAGGAUAGAACCGUGUUCAAUGGUGCUAAUAAAUAAGAAUAAGUUUGCAUAGGUCCACGACCUCUAUCAGUUUCGACUAUUAGUAAUGAAAGGGGCCUUUCGCCAAGUUUAUCCUAACUCCAAGCUUGAGGACAAGCUUUUUCUCUGGCAAGGGAGUAAUAUUAUGGGCUGAAUCUAUACUAAGUUUGUCUAGGUCCAAAACCCCUAUCAGUUUCGACUAUUAGUAAUGAAAGGGACCUAGUGCCAAGUUUAUCCUAACUCCAAGCUUGAGGACAAGCUUUUUCUCUGGCAAGGGAGUAAUAUUAUGGGCUGAAUCUAUACUAAGUUUGUCUAGGUCCAAAACCCCUAUCAGUUUCGACUAUUAGUAAUGAAAGGGACCUAGUGCCAAGUUUAUCCUAACUCCAAGCUUGAGGACAAGCUCUUUCUCUAGCAAGGGACUGAUCUUAUGGGCUGAAUCUACGUUAGGAAAGGCCAUUAAUUUUGAUUCUCUAAUUAAGGCUUAGGUUGCUAUUUUAUUUCUUUCCUUACAUUUUGUUGCGAUUUUAUUUCAAUUGAUUUAAUUCCUUUCUAGAAUAGGCUUCCUAUUUACAUAAUAAGACUUGUUAAAAGGGUAGAGAUGUAGUCAAUGGUGCUAAUACAUGAGAAUAAGUUUGUGUAGGUCCACAAACCCUAUCGGUUUUGACUAUUAGUAAUGAAAGGGACCUUUCGCCAAGUUUAUUGUAACUCUGAGCUUGAGGACAAGCUCUUUCUCUAGCAAGGGAGUAAAAUUAUGCGCCAAAUCUAUAAUAAGUUUGUUUAAGUCUACGACCCCUAUCGGUUUCAACUAUUAGUAAUGGAAGGGACCUUUUGCCAAAGUUUAUCCUAGCUCCGAGCUUGAGGACAAGCUCUUUCUCUAGUAAGGGAGUAAUAUUAUGAGCCGAAUCUAUAAUAAGUUUGUGUAGGUCCAUGACCCCUAUCGGUUUCGACUAUUAGUAACGAAAGGGACCUUUCACCAAGUUCAUCUUAACUCCAAGCUUGAGGACAAUCUUUUUCUCUAGCAAGGUAGUAAUAUUAUCAGCCGAAUCUAUGUUAGGAAAGGCUAUUACUUUUGAUUCUCUAAUUAAGGCUUAGGUUACUAUUUUUUUUCUUUCCUCAGGUUGCAAUUUUAUUUCAGUUGAUUUAAUUCCUUUCUAGAAUAGGCUUCCUAUUUACGCAAUAAGACUAGUCCUUAUUUAAGGGGUAAAGAUGUAUUCAAUGGUGCUAAUAAAAAAAUUUGUGUAGGUCCAUGAGCCCCAUUAGUCUCGACGAUUAGUAAUGAAAGGGACCUUUCGCCAAGUUUAUCCUAACUCCGAGCUUGAGGACAAGCUCUUUCUCUAGCAAGGGAGUAAUAUUAUGGGUUGAAUCUAUAAUAAGCUUGUAUGGGUCCACAACCCCUAUCGGUUUCAACUAUUAGCAAUGGAAGGGACCUUUCACCAUGUUUAUCCUUAACUCUGAGCCUGAGGAAAAGCUCUUUCUCUAGCAAGGGAGUAAUAUUAUGGGCUGAAUCUAUAACAAGUUUGUGUAGGUCCACGACCCAUAUCGGUUUUGACUUAAUGAGGGGACCUUUCUCCAAGUUUAUCCUAGCUCCGAGCUUGAGGACAAGCUCUUUCUCUAGCAAGGGAGUGAUAUUAUGGGCCGAAUCUAUAAUAAGUUUGGGUAGGUCCACAACACCUAUCGGUUUCAACUAUUAGUAAUGAAAAGGGCCUUUCGCCAAGUUUAUCCUAACUCCGAGAGCUUGAGGACAAGCUCUUUCUCUAGCAAGGGAGUAAUAUUAUGAGCCGAAUCUAUUAUAAGUUUGUGUAGGUCCACAACCGUUAUCGGUUUCGACUAUUAGUAACGAGGGGACCUUUCCCCAAGUUUAUCCUAACUCCAAGCUUGAGGACAAGUUCUUUCUCUAGCAAGGAGGUGACUUAUGGGCUGAAUCUAUGUUAGGAAAGGCCAUUAAUUUUGAUUCUCUCUCUUUGAUUAGCUAAACUAUCAAUUCAAACCUCAGACAUUACAUAUCCUUACUGUGUUUGUUUACUCUAGUUAACCCGAGUUAAACUAAUAGUGUGUAUUCAAUUGUAUUAUAGCUGCCUGCCUAAGAAAGGCAAAGCUACUUUUGACCUUCUUGUAUCGACAAACACCAAAAAGGAUAAAGAAGCCAUAUUUUUAGUUUGGCCCAAGAUGGUCAACUCGGAUGCCUCGUAUUUUACCAC